Molecule: small nuclear RNA, 180 nt
Organism: Balaenoptera musculus (blue whale)
Lineage: Eukaryota; Metazoa; Chordata; Mammalia; Artiodactyla; Balaenopteridae
Gene: U2
Rfam family: U2 spliceosomal RNA
About the family: U2 is a small nuclear RNA (snRNA) component of the spliceosome (involved in pre-mRNA splicing). Complementary binding between U2 snRNA (in an area lying towards the 5' end but 3' to hairpin I) and the branchpoint sequence (BPS) of the intron results the bulging out of an unpaired adenosine, on the BPS, which initiates a nucleophilic attack at the intronic 5' splice site, thus starting the first of two transesterification reactions that mediate splicing.
Source: Ensembl
AUCACAUCCUGGCCUUUUGGCUAAGAUCACGUGUAGUAUCUUUUCUUAUCAGUUUACUAUUUCCUGGCAGGUAGAGCUAUUUGUACUUCUCCAACCCAGCGGGCUCCCUUACACUUCUGAGUUCCUGAACCUGCUUUGCCUUUGCUAGGUCUGCCCUACCCAUCUCAGUGGCUUGGAAAA